Molecule: long non-coding RNA, 2051 nt
Organism: Daphnia pulicaria
Lineage: Eukaryota; Metazoa; Arthropoda; Branchiopoda; Diplostraca; Daphniidae
Exons: 9
Source: RefSeq, a predicted model, not a curated record
CCUUAAAUAAACGGCCCUUUUCAGGGCCACCAAUUUAUUUUGAAAAAAGAAUUUGCUUAGUGCUACAUUUCGUACAUUUCAAUUAGGUUUUGGCAAUGAUUACUUGCGCAAAUUUUCUGAUUUAUCGCAAGGUGGCACUCUUGAAUUGUUUUGAUUCAACUUAAUUCGUCUGCUGGUAUUUCGUUUGUCCAACUGUGAGAGAAAAACAUUUCUUAUGAUAUUUCGAUGAAAUGGAUGUAUUUUACAUGUUAUUUUCGUAUAAAUUCAUUUUUUUCUUUUCUGCAAUUCUGUUCUUUUUAACUCUUCUCUUUUUUUCUGAUCCACCUUGUUCAAAUUCAUGCAACCUUGCCCACUCCCCCUCAACUCCAGUCCAAAAUAUUCAAAAUGGUCGCCGCCUGGAUUGCUGGUGGAAGCGAUUCUCAUGAUAAUUCUUAUCUCAGUGAUUUGAAAUUGGAUGGCUGUAAAGUGUAAAGAAGAGUUUACUUCAUAUGAGAUAUUUUUGGUCUUUAUUCUUAAGGUAAUAUCUUCAACUUAAGGUUUCGUGUGUCAUGGGUGCUUGUGACAAUAAAGAUGAAAUUGUCCAAUUCAAGCUGUGUCUUACAAAACUAAGGAAAUUCUAUUUGCAAGGUAGAAAACCUUUCUGACAAAACAUGGUUUUCCAGUUGUUGCUGGAUGGAUUGUUUUCGGGUUAGUUCCCAUGUCUAAAGACAAAUCCUAGCCCACAACUCACCAAGAGGAUCCUUUCGACAUAUUUAUGUCGAUCCUUUGUAUGCAGAGAGUUCAACCUACAGACGGGACGGCCAGUUUGCAUGUCCUUCACGCUUGAAGGGAACAUAUCGUGUAAAACUGUCUAUGCGGUGUUGUAGAGGUUGGGUGAGAAUGAAACGUGUUGCAUCAUUAUCAAGCAGACCCAUCCCCAACAACGUCAACCUGCAGUUAAGGAAAGGCCAGUUUGUAUGUCGUUCACUUUCAAAGGUCACGGAGAUCAUUACGUAAAACUGUCAAUGCGGUGGUGUAGAGGUUGGGUGAGAACGGGAAGUGUUUGCUUCAUUUUCAAGCAGGUAAAAUAGCCGCAAGGCUUAAGAGAGGGGUCAGGGUGAGAAAAAGUAGUAUAAAAGGAGAGAGAAAAGGCCAAAAAAAUCAGUAGUACGUACUGUCAGUCAUUCCAACAAGUUGACUUAGCGCUCAGUCAAUUUCCAUCCAAUAGACCCAUAAUGCUGUCAAAACCUAAAACUCAUGUUUCAUGCUCACAUAUAGUGGAAUACAAAUCUGCCGAGUUAAGGACUUUUCUGAAUCUCGCAAUUUUGGUGGUGUAACCUGCAACAUAAAGUUUGCUGUGAUGGCUGUUUCUACUUCUGUAGCAUCCCAGCUGAGAGAUAGAGUUUCAGUGACAUGAAGAGUGUGAAGUGAAACACCUAUCACCAUGCUACUGGAACACAUUAUGAUACUUUCUUUAGCAUCAGGAAAUUUAUCUAUACAUGAGGAAUAAGACUGUAUGUUCCUGUGAUUUCCAUUUUUACUUUUUUUUCAUCAUGAAAAUUGAAGUGUGCUUCUUAGAAAAGAGCACACAGUUUCUUUAUGGAAUCGUGUGGUCCUGGCACGGAGAUUCUUGUGCCAAUGCUGACCUUUGUCCAUGACGGAAGAGGGACUUCCAUCAACGUUCUUCUCCAUCCUUAUCUUCGCGACUCACGCUCAUCUAACUUCACUGCUUCUAAACACAAUUUGUUUUACUUCACUGGCGAGUUUCUGGACCAUUUCAGUGAUCGCUUCCGUCCGCUGUUACGCACCUGUAGUCACUCACCAAGGGAUUAUGCCCAGGUACCCAACAAUUGACUGAUUUCCGUAGGUUAUCUACUAAUAGUCUAGUUGCGUUAGACUCUGUCUGUGUAAUAGUUUUCAAAAUCAGACCCUUCUUACGCGCCAACGAAGUUUUACUUGGACGUUUCUUUUUUCUAACGCUAGAUGGCUUUUUGAUCAUUUGCAGCUGUCAUAACAGUCAUUUUCAGUUACUUUGCACGUCUAUUUAAACAUUUAUUGGCAGUUAUUUUGUU